RNAcentral lists this small nucleolar RNA (105 nucleotides) under Thalictrum thalictroides. It matches the Rfam family "Plant small nucleolar RNA R71". Rfam says of the family: R71 is a member of the C/D box family of snoRNAs containing the C (UGAUGA) and D (CUGA) box motifs. Multiple nearly identical copies of this snoRNA have been identified in Arabidopsis, and it is thought to function as a 2'-O-ribose methylation guide for 18S ribosomal RNA. Lineage: Eukaryota; Viridiplantae; Streptophyta; Magnoliopsida; Ranunculales; Ranunculaceae. The record is from RNAcentral.
AUUUGAUGAUGUGGACAUUGUAUUUGUAACUCCCCAAAUCUUUCCCAAGCUUUAAAAAAUUCUUCCGCAUGUUUUGUCAAAAAGUUUGAAUUUUGUUUCUUAACU